This is a long non-coding RNA of Phasianus colchicus (ring-necked pheasant), 922 nucleotides long. The record is from Ensembl. NCBI's taxonomy places the organism in Eukaryota, Metazoa, Chordata, Aves, Galliformes, Phasianidae.
GUGACUUGUGGCACUUCAGCUGUCUGUGGCAGAAGUGGUGAUAGGCAAAUGGUACUCUGGGCAGCAUUAAUCUGCCUUACCGUUGAGCUCGUCCUGUCUGACUCACCUGUCCUGUACUUCCCAGUUCCUUCAGCAGGUGCAGGAGCUGUUUCCAGUCCUUUUCCUCACAUAACUACAGUUGGCUCCUUGAACAUUCUCUGUCUCCUGUGAGCAAAGGAGGUCCUGCAUAGAGCACUGGCUGUGAGCACACAGCACAGCCCUCAGUAACUCAUGUCCAUAAGCAAACCACAGGAAGGUUAAGUGGGCAAUAUUAAUUUCCCCACUUGAUUUCCAAAUGCUUUCCUUUCCAACCCUCUAUUUUUCUACACAUUCUGGUGUAAAAUCAUCUUAGGUGCGAUUUCUCACCUUCCCAUACUGAGCACUCACUGCCACAUAAACAGCCCAAAAUGUGAAAUAAAUUGUGCUUAAUCGAAAAAAUGAGAUCUGCCCUGUGAGUCCACUGCUUCAUCUAUUCUUUUUCUUGCCUGGAGGGUUUACAGUGUCUUCAAACUCUUCUACCUCAGGAAGUACCAUAAAGAAAGGUAACAGCACAUAUCCAGGUGUAAUAUUCUGCACCAUAGACCUGUGCUCUAUCUUUUCCAGAUCCCUGCAGGAGCAGAAGACAGGACAACAGCUUCAGGGUUGGAGGGCAUCUGCCAGAGCUCUACUGCUCAUCUGGGUCUUUGUAAUAAGGAGAACUCUGUUUUCCCAGCUUUUCCAAGUUUCCAGGCCUAUCAUCCAGCCACAUCCUCUCUACUCACAUCGAUGCCUUCACUUCAAAGAUAACAGCACACAGAUGUGUAUCUGCACCGCUCUUCAUCCAGCCACAUCUACAGGCUGGCUGUGCAGGAGGCUGGGGUUCACCACAGACAUGCUCAGUUGA